GGGGCGGGGCCAAGGCUUGGCGCUCUCGUUCAAACGGCGGAGUGUGCGGGCGGUCCUGGAUGGGAUGUUUCACAGUUUAUUCCGUGACGGCUCCGGGUGGGAUGUCUCACCGUACCCCCGCGACGGCUCCGGCCGCGCUGCGGGCCCGGCCCGGGUGGCACGGAACUAAAAGGUCCCCGGGGCUGGCAGUGCACGGUUCGGGGAGGUUCUGUGGCUCCGCUUUGCAGCGCAGAUGUGACUGCUGUGAAAGAGAAGACUUGUAGCAGAUAUCUCAUAACUGGAAGUCAUUGGGACAACAGCUGCUUUUGUGCUACAGAGCUGAAAAACUUUGUGUGAGUGCCCCUUUGGACUUUGAAGCUGUCUGUUGCUGCUGAGGAAGGCAGGAGAACCACGAGCAUCCCUGUUACAGCUGGAUGCGGCUCGGGGGCAGGUGGCUGUGCGGAGAGAGGGUUGGUUUGGAGAGCUCUGGGUGUUCCUGCUGUGCUAAUGCCUCUUGUAACGGAAGUCUCCUCUACUGCUGGUAAAAGAUCUUAUAUGGGAGCUAUUGUUUAAUCACAAAUGCUGAAGUAACGUUGUACUGGGCUUAGGGUGGCUGGAGCUGCACUGAGCUGUCCAGCAUGGCCGCGCUGCUGCCCACCAGCCCACGGUGGGAGCCCAGGAAGCACACUGGUGGGCAUGGCCACCUCUGUCCCCUGCUCAGAGCUGGUAACCCACCUCUUGCAUCUGACGGCUUUAAACGCAAGUGUUAGAGCCCCAGGCUGGGAACUGGGGGGCAGGGGGUGAUUCCUCAGCCUUGUCAUGCUCCUUAUGUGUCCUCCUGCCAGUCAUGAGUUUGUGUCUCAUGUCUUCAGUUGUUUGGCUGUGCGUGAUGUGCUUAAAUACAACCCUUUCUGAAGAUGGAGGGAUUAGGUGCAAGACCAUGGUGGGAUGGGUUUUGGUAUAAAGAGAUCCUAGGCAAGGUUUUCUGACUUUUUUUCUUCCUCUCCUUUCUAUGCAUUUAUGAUGAAAACAAGUGGAUAUUCUGGAUGUAUUUGCUAUGCUGCAUGUCCUGUCGUGGGCUUGUGAGCAGCUGGGUGGGAUGUAAGAGUGCUUGCUCAGUAGGUUUUGUAACAGGUGGGGACACCGCAGGGGACAUCGCGCCUGUGCCUGCCGUGGCGCCCGCGCCGCCACCAGCCCUGCUGCGCCAGCUCUUCUCUGCUGUUUCCGACUAAGCCUCACUUGUGUAACUUCAGCUUUGGGGGCAAUUUGAAAGUUAAAUCAUGUCUGUGGUCCUGUUUACCCACAGCAUCCCCUGAAGUUCCCCACAGACGCUGUUCCACGCUGACCUUCCCGAAUACCUGCUCUCAGGAUCGGCAGCGGCCUGUGCCUCGGACGUGCUUUUUUAGCUCUAUUCAAAACUGUGAUCCCCGUUUGGCUCUUCUUUACCAGGCAAACUUAACAACUUUCUAUUGCUGAUCCUUGAUUUUUUUUUUUUAUCACUCUAAUCUGUAAAUUUGUUCAGUAAUCAUAUUGUGCUUUUUUUCAGGGCAUAGACAAAACUGAUGAGUAACAUAGGGUCAGGCUCUUGAAGGUGGGAUAAGAGAAACCAUUCUCUUUUGUGUUGAUAUUUAAUUGAUAUAAGCUGGAAACAUUUAUUUAGUGUUUGGCCUCAUCUGCAAUUAUGUUUUGAGGCUUAUCUGUCUCUAGCCUACUUGAUGUGUCAUGUUGAUUUUGAGUUUCUUAAUCAAACGUCAUUUUGCAUCAACUGCCUUACAAAAAUCUGCUAUAUCUGUGUUAUUAAUUAGCAAUAAACUUGUAAUUAAAAAUCAAGCUAGUCCAAGAAGAUAUUUUCUGAAAAUUCACAUAAUAUUGUAUUACCCUCUCCAUUUCUUUCUAGCUAUAGUCCUGUAUUGGCCAUUUUGUUACUUUGAGAUCAGUGUCAGACAGACAAGAUCACGGUUACUUGAGUCACCAGACCAAAAAAACCAACCAAACCAAAAAAACACACACAAAAAAACCCCAAAACAACCCAAAACCUGUUGUUGUUUCUCUCUGCCCUCUCAAAUAUCCCGUGUUUUCCAAAGGAUACUAAAAAUGAGCGUUAAUGGUCCAAAGAGCUCUUCAGCUCUUUUCCUCUAAUCAGCAUGGAAAUUGAAACCUAGAUCUUAACUCUUUCCCAUUUGACCUAGUUCAAGCUACUCACUUAAUUUAUAAAUGUCCUGACAGCCUUGUAUGACUUCCUGUGGGACUUCAGCUCGCAUUAAUCUGUUAUCAGCAUGAUGUUUCCUAGAGGUCCCCUGCUUAAUAGGCCAGAUCGACAGCACUAAAUGGUUGGUUUUGACCUUGGAGGCCUUGUCACAGUUUUUGGCCUCUGGCUUUGCUGAGGGUGCAAGAGAAGCUGAAGGUCUGAAUCUCGUUGGGUUAUUAUUUUAGGUGAACUACAUCACUUUGGUUUAUAAUUAAUAUUUUCAUGUUAAUCUUUGCAACUGUGAACUACAGAAAUUCAACAAACUUUUAUAGCUAAAACCUAAUCUAUAGAAAUUGAUCAUGUGAGUAAAGUAUUGUAAUCAAUCCAUCUGAGGCUAAUUGUUUGAUGCCAAUAUCUAGCUCAUAUAGUUCUUAGAUGUCAGAUUGAUUGAAUUGCUGUAAGAGAACUGGUGGGAAUAAUCUUUGGGCAAUAGAGGAAGGUAAUUCACGUUUUGUGUAAUGACUUACGAAAUAAAACUUGUGUUGUCUUAUGUUUA
Columba livia (rock pigeon) is the source of this 2723-nucleotide long non-coding RNA. RefSeq lists it as uncharacterized. NCBI's taxonomy places the organism in Eukaryota, Metazoa, Chordata, Aves, Columbiformes, Columbidae. The transcript is spliced from 4 exons. The record is from RefSeq and is a predicted model, not a curated record.